RNAcentral lists this ribosomal RNA (519 nucleotides) under uncultured eukaryote. RNAcentral describes it as "SSU rRNA". It matches the Rfam family "Eukaryotic small subunit ribosomal RNA", at positions 1161 to 1699 of the family's 1831-position model. The record is from RNAcentral.
AGGGCACCACCAGGAGUGGAGCCUGCGGCUUAAUUUGACUCAACACGGGAAAACUCACCCGGCCCGGACACUGGAAGGAUUGACAGAUUGAGAGCUCUUUCUUGAUUCAGUGGGUGGUGGUGCAUGGCCGUUCUUAGUUGGUGGAGCGAUUUGUCUGGUUAAUUCCGAUAACGAACGAGACUCUAGCCUAUUAAAUAGGCUCUCGGCUUUUAAGCGCCGGGAGGACUUCUUAGAGGGACAGGUGGCGGUUCAGCCGCACGAAAGAGAGCAAUAACAGGUCUGUGAUGCCCUUUGUUGUCCGGGGCCGCACGCGCGCUACACUGAAGAGAUCAGCGUGCUUUACGUUCCUGCUCCGACCGGAGUGGGGAACCCAGUGAACCUUCUUCGUGAUUGGGAUAGAAGAUUGUAAUUAUUCUACUUGAACGAGGAAUUCCCAGUAAAUGCGAGUCAUAAGCUCGCGUUGAUUACGUCCCUGCCCUUUGUACACACCGCCCGUCGCUACUACCGAUUGAACGAUUU